RNAcentral lists this ribosomal RNA (440 nucleotides) under uncultured bacterium. RNAcentral's name for it is "partial 16S ribosomal RNA". It matches the Rfam family "Bacterial small subunit ribosomal RNA", at positions 338 to 795 of the family's 1533-position model. The record is from RNAcentral.
CCUACGGGAGGCAGCAGUGGGGGAUAUUGCACAAUGGGGGAAACCCUGAUGCAGCAACGCCGCGUGUAGGAAGAAGGUCCUCGGGAUGGUAAACCACUGUACACGGGGACGGAAGUGGCGGGAACUGGGGAAGAAGGCCCGGCUAAAUACGGGCCAGCAACCGGGGUAAUAGGGAGGGAGCGAGCGUUGUCCGGAAUUACUGGGUGGAAAGGGGGGGUAGGGGGGGAUGCAAGGUGGGUUGAAAAACUACCGGCUCAACUGGUAGUCGCACUUAAAACUGGAGCUCUUGAGUGAAGUAGAGGCAGGCGGAAUUCCUAGUGUAGCGGUGAAAUGCGUAGAUAUUAGGAGGAACACCAGUGGCGAAGGCGGCCUGCUGGGCUUUUACUGACGCUGAGGCUCGAAAGUGUGGGGAGCAAACAGGAUUAGAUACCCCGGUAGUC